AUGGUUGAUGCGGUUGCAGCGCGCCUACCGACCUGGAAGGCCUGGCUGAUGACUAAAACCGGGCGCCUCGCGCUGGUUAAGUCGGUCUUGAGUGCCAACCCAGUGCACCAACUGCUUGCGUUCGCGCCCCCCAAAAAAACUCUCAAGCAGAUCGAGAAGAUUCAGCGUGGUUUUCUUUGGGCUGGACGCGCCGCUGCCAAUGGCGGACACUGCCACGUGAACUGGAACAGAGUUUGCCGCCCCAUCGAGCUUGGGGGCCUGGGCGUGCGAGACCUCGAGCGCGCCGGUCUCGCCCUGCGACUACGCUGGUUAUGGUUCUCCAGAACGGACCCGGAGCGAGCAUGGCAGGGGUUGGACCUUCAAUUCUCGCCCACGGAACGUGCCCUGUUCUGGGCAUCCACGUUCACGCUCAUUGGGAAUGGGCAGACCGCCCUGCUCUGGGAGGACCGAUGGAUAGGUGGCCAAUCCGUGCGCGAGCUCAUGCCUAACCUCUACGGCUGCAUCCCCAAGCGACGACGGAAGACGAGAACCGUGGCGGACGGACUCAAUGGCAACUCCUGGGCACGCGACAUCCAAGGCAACCUCGGCCUCCACGAGAUUGGUCAGUAUCUGCAGCUCUGGCAGAUCAUGCAGCGCACUGAGCUCUCCACCACACCGGACAGGUUGAUCUGGAGAUGGACGGCGAGUGGCACCUACUCCGCGCAGUCCUGCUACACGGCCACCUUCCAUGGAUCAACGGGCUGUCAUUCCUGGAAGCUAAUCUGGAAGUGUUGGGCGCCGCCGCGGGUCAAGUUCUUCCACUGGUUAGCCAACCAGGACCGCUGCUGGACGGCAGAGAGGCUGGCGCGCCACGGUCUCCAGUAUCAUCCCCGCUGCCUCCUAUGUGACCAGCAACCGGAGACAAUGCGACAUCUGCUGCUGGAAUGCCCCCUAGCCCGACAGGCAUGGCACGAGACCCUGGCCUGGCUACGCAUACCGGCCCCGAUCCCAACACAGGAACUGUCGCUUACGGAUUGGUGGAACCAUGCCAAGGAAGACACGCCGCCGAUCCUUCGCAAGGCCCUGAAAUCUGUCGCGCUGCUCGUGCCUUGGAUGGUCUGGAAACACAGGAACAGCUGCGUCUUCGACAAUACGACUCCAUCCCUUAACACGCUCCUAGAUAGCAUUCAGGACGAGGCCCGCUCAUGGGCGGCAGCUGGGGCACCUGGUCUCCGACUUGUGCUGCCCCAAACCUGGGAUGUGCAUUAA
RNAcentral lists this ribosomal RNA (1248 nucleotides) under Triticum aestivum (bread wheat). RNAcentral's name for it is "partial small subunit ribosomal RNA". Lineage: Eukaryota; Viridiplantae; Streptophyta; Magnoliopsida; Poales; Poaceae. The record is from RNAcentral.